GAGUAUAGCACGCGCGUGUUGCGUCGCGCCAGUUCACAGGCCCGCCGACUGCAGGCUCUGCUGGAAGCGUUGGGCA
This 76-nucleotide transfer RNA is filed under the name Methylibium petroleiphilum PM1. RNAcentral describes it as "tRNA-Lys". Lineage: Bacteria; Pseudomonadati; Pseudomonadota; Betaproteobacteria; Burkholderiales; Sphaerotilaceae. The record is from RNAcentral.